UCGGUCAGUGUACCAUGUUAAGGGUCAAAAAAAUUUUCCGGACAUACCAAAAUUUUUCGUAACAUCACACAAAUUUUCCAAAAACCACUACAUUGGCCACAAAAUUGAGUAAAUUUUCGACAAAAUUGACAGAAUUUGUCCCAUUUAUUUUUAUAACAAACCAAAAUUGCCCGACUGUAACUCGAAUAUUGCCCGACUGCCCAAAAAACUGGGGGGGGGUUACCGCCCCCCCCCCC
Molecule: non-coding RNA, 236 nt
Organism: Paramuricea clavata
Lineage: Eukaryota; Metazoa; Cnidaria; Anthozoa; Malacalcyonacea; Plexauridae
Source: the annotation of a GenBank genome assembly